RNAcentral lists this ribosomal RNA (497 nucleotides) under uncultured bacterium. RNAcentral describes it as "partial 16S ribosomal RNA". It matches the Rfam family "Bacterial small subunit ribosomal RNA", at positions 28 to 507 of the family's 1533-position model. The record is from RNAcentral.
GAUGAACGCUGGCGGCGUGCCUAAUACAUGCAAGUCGGGCGAACGGACGAGAAGCUUGCUUCUCUGAUGUUAGCGGCGGACGGGUGAGUAACACGUGGAUAACCGACCUAUAAGACUGGGAUAACUUCGGGAAACCGGAGCUAAUACCGGAUAAUAUUUUGAACCGCAUGGUUCAAAAGUGAAAGACGGUCUUGCUGUAACUUAUAGAUAGUUCCGCGCUGCAUUUGCUAGUUGGUCAGGUAACGGAUUACCAAGGCAACGAUGCAUAGCCAACCUGAGAGCGUGAUUCGCCACACUAGAACGGAGACACGGUCCAGACUCCUACGGGCGGCAGCGGUAGGGAACCUUCACAAACGGGCGAAAGCCUGACGGAGCAACGACGAGUGAGUGAUGAAGGUCUUAGGAUCGUAAAACUCUGUUAUUGGGGAAGAACAUAUGUGUAAGUAACUGUGCACAUCUUGACGGUACCUAAUCAGAAAGCCACGGCUAACUACGUG